UUUAGGAAUUCCGAAUUGGGUGACGA
RNAcentral lists this small RNA (26 nucleotides) under Bombyx mori (domestic silkworm). Its description in RNAcentral is "ovarian small RNA-38240". The record is from RNAcentral. Lineage: Eukaryota; Metazoa; Arthropoda; Insecta; Lepidoptera; Bombycidae.